AUUGAACGCUGGCGGCAUGCCUUACACAUGCAAGUCGAACGGUAACAGGUCUUCGGAUGCUGACGAGUGGCGAACGGGUGAGUAAUACAUCGGAACGUGCCUAGUAGUGGGGGAUAACUACUCGAAAGAGUGGCUAAUACCGCAUGAGAUCUACGGAUGAGAGCAGGGGAUCGCAAGACCUUGUGCUACUAGAGCGGCCGAUGGCAGAUUAGGUAGUUGGUGGGAUAAAAGCUUACCAAGCCGAAGAUCUGUAGCUGGUCUGAGAGGACGAUCAGCCACACUGGGACUGGGACACGGCCCAGACUCCGACGGGAGGCAGCAGUGGGGAAUUUUGGACAAUGGGCGCAAGCCUGAUCCAGCAAUGCCGCGUGCAGGAUGAAGGCCUUCGGGUUGUAAACUGCUUUUGUACGGAACGAAAAGCCCUGGGUUAAUACCCUGGGGUCAUGACGGUACCGUAAGAAUAAGCACCGGCUAACUACGUGCCAGCCGCCGCAGUAA
This 498-nucleotide ribosomal RNA is filed under the name uncultured bacterium. RNAcentral's name for it is "partial 16S ribosomal RNA". It matches the Rfam family "Bacterial small subunit ribosomal RNA", at positions 30 to 523 of the family's 1533-position model. The record is from RNAcentral.